UCUUUAUUUACCUUUCCUUCAUUUUCUCUAUCUCUCCAUAACAAUGAUUAUAUCAAUUAAACGUGUUCGCAUCAAUAUAGUGUUUCGAAUAUCGCUGGCGCGUGUACGUGAUAUUAUCCAUCAUAUACCUAAGUUGUCGAAUUGGAUUUGUUAUGCAUUAGAAAAUACAUCGAAUAACCAUUACGUGCAGUGUGAAUAAAUAUAAAUAAGAAUAUGCACGGUAUUUCAUCGUCGAAUUACGAGUACGUCGGAGUAUGUAUAAUAUAUGUAUGUACCUUUAAAGUCGGAGCGACUGCAUUAUCGAAUGAUAUGAAAUGCGCAUAAUGCACUCACAAGAGCAGACGGAAUAUAUAUAUCUGUGUAAUCAAGCGAACGCAUAUUGAAACCUGUACGUAUAGAGGAGGCACGAAAUUAACGGAUGAUCGAUUUCUCAUAAUAUGAUCCAUAAUACAGAGCUGCGCAAAUCC
This is a long non-coding RNA of Athalia rosae (coleseed sawfly), 467 nucleotides long. RefSeq lists it as uncharacterized. The record is from RefSeq and is a predicted model, not a curated record. The transcript has 3 exons. Lineage: Eukaryota; Metazoa; Arthropoda; Insecta; Hymenoptera; Athaliidae.